RNAcentral lists this transfer RNA (87 nucleotides) under [Desulfovibrio] dechloracetivorans. Its description in RNAcentral is "Desulfovibrio dechloracetivorans tRNA-Leu". It matches the Rfam family "tRNA". From Rfam's summary of the family: Transfer RNA (tRNA) molecules are approximately 80 nucleotides in length. RNAcentral also lists the same sequence under 3 other names. The record is from RNAcentral. Lineage: Bacteria; Pseudomonadati; Thermodesulfobacteriota; Desulfovibrionia; Desulfovibrionales; Desulfovibrionaceae.
GCCCGGGUGGCGGAACUGGUAGACGCAAGGGACUUAAAAUCCCUCGGACAUUUGUCUGUGUGGGUUCGAUUCCCACCUCGGGUACCA